GUAAAAAUAAGAAAUAAUCGAAACAACCUACAAAGGUAGGAUCUGCCGAGUGGCAGUAG
Molecule: non-coding RNA, 59 nt
Submitted as: unclassified sequences
Source: Rfam